Molecule: ribosomal RNA, 465 nt
Filed under: Vreelandella stevensii
Lineage: Bacteria; Pseudomonadati; Pseudomonadota; Gammaproteobacteria; Oceanospirillales; Halomonadaceae
Description: partial 16S ribosomal RNA
Rfam family: Bacterial small subunit ribosomal RNA
Source: RNAcentral
CCUACGGGCGGCAGCAGUGGGGAAUAUUGGACAAUGGGGGCAACCCUGAUCCAGCCAUGCCGCGUGUGUGAAGAAGGCCCUCGGGUUGUAAAGCACUUUCAGUGAGGAAGAACGCCUGGUGGUUAAUACCCAUCAGGAAAGACAUCACUCACAGAAGAAGCACCGGCUAACUCCAUGCCAGCAGCCGCGGUAAUACGGAGGGUGCGAGCGUUAAUCGGAAUUACUGGGCGUAAAGCGCGCGUAGGUGGCUUGAUAAGCCGGUUGUGAAAGCCCCGGGCUCAACCUGGGAACGGCAUCCGGAACUGUCAAGCUAGAGUGCAGGAGAGGAAGGUAGAAUUCCCGGUGUAGCGGUGAAAUGCGUAGAGAUCGGGAGGAAUACCAGUGGCGAAGGCGGCCUUCUGGACUGACACUGACACUGAGGUGCGAAAGCGUGGGUAGCAAACAGGAUUAGAUACCCUUGUAGUC